This 667-nucleotide ribosomal RNA is filed under the name Sporobolus nitens. Its description in RNAcentral is "eukaryotic LSU rRNA". The stretch from base 243 to 397 matches the Rfam family "5.8S ribosomal RNA". The record is from RNAcentral. Lineage: Eukaryota; Viridiplantae; Streptophyta; Magnoliopsida; Poales; Poaceae.
ACCUGCGGAAGGAUCAUUGAUGUGACCCUAACAAAAAUAGACUGUGAAUAUGUAAUCCAUGUUGUCGGGUGAUGGUCCUUGCACCAUCUCUUGGCAUAGGCUCUUCGCCUUCUUAUGGAGGCGAGGGCACUCAUAAGAACCCACGGCGCUGGAUGGCGUCAAGGAACACUGAAGUUGCUUGCUUGGGGCUACGGUCGGCUUGCCGGACGAGCCCUGUGCUGUGAUGCUACCUGAAUCCAUAAGACUCUCGGCAACGGAUAUCUUGGCUCUCGCAUCGAUGAAGAACGUAGCAAAAUGCGAUACCUGGUGUGAAUUGCAGAAUCCCGUGAACCAUCGAGUUUUUGAACGCAAGUUGCGCCUGAGGCCUUUGGUCGAAGGCACGUCUGCCUGGGCGUCACGCCAAAAGACACUCCCCCACCAUCCCUGGUGCGGGAUGUGGCGUCUGGCCUUCCAUUGCACUUAGGAGUGGUAGGCUAAAGUAAGUGGCUUCUGGCUAUGGUGCCAGUCGCAGCACUUGGUGGACGACACAUGUUGUUCUCGGAGUUGUGACUUGUACUGCUUCCAGCUAAUAUUGGCCCCCUGGACCCAUGUGGAUUGAGCAUCAAUUGCUUGAACCGCGACCCCAGGUCAGUCGGGAUUACCCGCUGAAUUAAAGCAUAUCAAUAAG